RNAcentral lists this ribosomal RNA (476 nucleotides) under uncultured bacterium. RNAcentral describes it as "partial 16S ribosomal RNA". It matches the Rfam family "Bacterial small subunit ribosomal RNA", at positions 28 to 523 of the family's 1533-position model. The record is from RNAcentral.
GACGAACGCUGGCGGCGUGCCUAACACACGCAAGUCGAGCGAUGAAACCCUUCGGGGUGGAUUAGCGGCGGACGGGUGAGUAACACGUGGGUAACCUGCCUCAAAGAGGGGGAUAGCCUCCCGAAAGGGAGAUUAAUACCGCAUAACAUUAGUUUUUCGCAUGAAGAACUAAUUAAAGGAGUAAUCCGCUUUGAUAUGGACCCGCGGCGUAUUAGCUAGUUGGUGAGGUAAAGGCUCACCAAGGCGACGAUGCGUAGCCGACCUGAGGGGGUGAUCGGCCACAUUGGAACUGGGACACGGUCCAGACUCCUACGGGAGGCAGCAGUGGGGAAUAUUGCACAAUGGGCGAAAGCCUGAUGCAGCAACGCCGCGUGAGUGAUGAAGGCCUUCGGGUUGUAAAGCUCUGUCUUUUGGGACGAUAAUGACGGUACCAAAGGAGGAAGCCACGGCUAACUACGUGCCAGCCGCCGCGGUAA